UUUAAAUCGUAAAGGUUUAUUCUACUCACCUCUGGCUGAAGCUCUACUGACUCAGAAGCAGCUGAACUCACUGCUGGGGUCCUCGGUUCCUCGGGUCCGAACCUACACAGGUGGACUCAAAUGAGGGACCAAACAACUAGAACAUAAUUCUAAAAACAUCCCCCAAAAACCCCCUAAAACACCUCAAAACAAUCAUGCAAAAACAUGCAAAGG
Molecule: long non-coding RNA, 213 nt
Filed under: Manihot esculenta (cassava)
Lineage: Eukaryota; Viridiplantae; Streptophyta; Magnoliopsida; Malpighiales; Euphorbiaceae
Description: long non-coding RNA (MESC_LNC011560)
Source: RNAcentral